UUCGCUGGCGCCGGCCGGGCGGUCGCCCUGACAACGCAGACGCCAGCCCGCAGAAUGACUUCCAGCUGGAGCAGCCCAGCCAGCCUGCGCGCUCACUCGCUUGCCUGCGCGGGGCUUCACAGCGCGGGGAUUUCUUGCUUCAAAACAGCUGCACUUUUGGAAGAAAGUCCACAACUGACAACUAAGCAAAACCCUCCUGGUGGAUAGCAUAAAUCUGCUUUGUUGAAGCUGCUCAUCUGUCUGAUCUAUGAGUCGAGAAGAUGCAAACUCCCUUCCCAGCUUAUGCAAAAAUACUUCCAGUAAAAACAAGCCCUUUGGCCCUUUUCUGCUGUCAGUCCAGAUUUCAGCAUGUUCUUCGCUUUGUUAUUCAUCAUUUUAUGUAUUUGGACCCAUCCUCAAACAGACUUUAAACCCUUUAAAGGCAAGGAAGGACUCUUUCCUAAACCUUUAAUCCCCUGGCCCAGCUGAGUAGAUGCACAGUGUCUUAUGAUGAUGGUGAUAUAGAAUGAUUAAUAACCACACAAAGCAUUUGGUGGGUCAAGUCACUGUUUAUUGGCUCAAAAUAAUCCUUGGCUUCUAUAUGUCUACAACUCACUUCCUAAACAGUUAAAUCCAGAGAGUCUACUAGAUUAUAGUUGGUGAUCAUUAAUAUAAAUAACGAAUACAUUAGAAUAUGUAGUCAAAAUACGAAUACUUGCUUUUCACAUGUUUCCCAAGGAUCACUGCUGGUGUUAGUCAACACAAUAAAAUAAAAAAUUUGAACUCA
Molecule: long non-coding RNA, 766 nt
Organism: Cercocebus atys (sooty mangabey)
Lineage: Eukaryota; Metazoa; Chordata; Mammalia; Primates; Cercopithecidae
Exons: 2
Source: RefSeq, a predicted model, not a curated record